UAGGGAAUCUUCGGCAAUGGGGGGCAACCCUGACCGAGCAACGCCGCGUGAGUGAAGAAGGUUUUCGGAUCGUAAAGCUCUGUUGUAAGAGAAGAACGUGUGUGAGAGUGGAAAGUUCACACAGUGACGGUAACUUACCAGAAAGGGACGGCUAACUACGUGCCAGCAGCCGCGGUAAUACGUAGGUCCCGAGCGUUGUCCGGAUUUAUUGGGCGUAAAGCGAGCGCAGGCGGUUUAAUAAGUCUGAAGUUAAAGGCAGUGGCUUAACCAUUGUUCGCUUUGGAAACUGUUAAACUUGAGUGCAGAAGGGGAGAGUGGAAUUCCAUGUGUAGCGGUGAAAUGCGUAGAUAUAAGGAGAACACCAGUGGCGAAGGCGAUCUACUGGACAGUAACUGACGCUGAGGCGCGAAAGCGUGGGGAGC
Molecule: ribosomal RNA, 422 nt
Filed under: uncultured Streptococcus sp.
Lineage: Bacteria; Bacillati; Bacillota; Bacilli; Lactobacillales; Streptococcaceae
Description: bacterial SSU rRNA
Rfam family: Bacterial small subunit ribosomal RNA
Source: RNAcentral